UCUCCACGGUUGGGAGCAUGGUGUUC
This 26-nucleotide non-coding RNA is filed under the name Homo sapiens (human). The record is from RNAcentral. Lineage: Eukaryota; Metazoa; Chordata; Mammalia; Primates; Hominidae.